This 7384-nucleotide long non-coding RNA is filed under the name Sus scrofa (pig). RNAcentral describes it as "lncRNA (ENSSSCG00000061042.1)". The record is from RNAcentral. Lineage: Eukaryota; Metazoa; Chordata; Mammalia; Artiodactyla; Suidae.
UUUUUUUUUUUUUUUGUCUUUUUUUUUUUUGUCUUUUGUUGUUGUUGUUUCUAUUUCUUGGGCCGCUCCCGCGGCAUAUGGAGGUUCCCAGCCUAGGGGUCGAAUCGGAGCCGUAGCCACCGGCCUACGCCAGAGCCACAGCAACACAGGAUCCGAGCCACGUCUGCAACCUACACCACAGCUCAUGGCAACGCCGGAUCGUUAACCCACUGAGCAAGGGCAGGGACCGAACCCGCAACCUCAUGGUUCCUAGUCGGAUUCGUUAACCACUGCGCCACGACGGGAACUCCUCUGUGAGCUCUAAUUUGGACAAUAAUUUCCUAAGAUAAAGGCGAGUGUGUACAAUGCUUAGCACAAGGGCAGACUUGUCACAAGUACUCGAAAGAAUACACUUAGGUCUAUUGAAAUAAUUUUUAAAUAUGACUUCAAAGAUUUUAGUAAACGGUAAAUUCUGUAAGUUGAUCGUUCUCUCCUCUGAUCCUUUGGCAAACAGGCUUUCAGUGAAGUGGCUUAGGACCCAUGAUUUGGUAGAUUGGCCUGCUUCUUUCUCCUCCAGCAGCAAUGUACCUCCAUUACAGCUCAUGCUAUAUUUUAUCUGUGCCUCUGUUAGUGGUCAACUUGGCAAUAAGGGCUUCUUUUUUUCCAUUUACAGCCCUUAGCACAAUGACUGACACAAACUGGGUGGUGGGGAGUAAAUGUUUACUGAAUGAAUCCAUUUGACUCCAUGCUCGUUAUAUUAUUUAGCAGAUAUCAGGUAUCAUCUAAAUGGGCACACCACACCCACAUUUAAAGGGUCUUGAAAGCAAGAGACUUUCCACUUGAUAAACCAUACAUUUUAUUCCUUUGCUUGGGUGGUGUGCUAAGUGCGCUGUUUUCCAGCCUGCCCAGCCACUGUGAAACUUAGUUUGUCCUAAGUCUAAUUGCUCCAGAGUUCUUUGUCAGCAAAUGCUAGGGGUAGCAUUUUCAGGUCUUUUGCUUUUAGAGAAGGAACAUGUUGGAAAUAAGCCCAAGAGUUGACUGAAAGAAAAAGUGCUUUUGCUUUUCUGAGGUUGCUUUGUUUUUCUAUAAAAGUCACAAUUGCAAGUAUGAGAAAAUAACUGCAUAACAAGGUGAAUGUUGCCAAAUAACAUGAAAUUCGGGCACAUGAGAGAGGCAGAAUGGGCCAGUGGGAUGACUCCAUGAGCUGGAGUCACAAGAUUGACGUUCACUUCCCAACUUUCCCAAGCUCUUCCUCUCUCACCUUGGGAAAUUUCCCUGGGAUCUGAGCUUCAGUUUCUGCAUCUGUAAAUUCAAGAGGAUGCACAUUCCUGACCUACGGGCUUCUUGGAGUUGUUUUUAGGAUCAAGUGAGGUAACAGACAUGGGAGAGUUGGCAGCUUUAAAACACUGUGCAAAUAUUAUCACAAGGGGGGCUGUGAGUGAGGAAUGGCUAGAGGAAGGCCUGAAGAGGGGAAGCAAAGUAUUGACCUGAAAACCAAAAAAGAGUGUUUUCUGGUCUGAUAGAAAGGAGCUUUGUAUCUGUCAUUAUUUAGUUAAGUACUCAAAAUCUGGACAAGGCUUCAGGAAAUCUGAUUUAUAUUCCUGGCCCUUGCAUCAGUUGAAGGACUUCAGUAAACAACUCUGCAAAUAAACGGUGGACCAGAUUUCUUCUUCCUCUGAUUUCUGUGACUCUUAUUUUUGGAUAAACAGUUAUCUUUUGAAGGGAAAAACAAUUUAAAGACUUGCCUAUGUACCCCUUUAGCUACCAUUUCUGGUCUCUUCAUUCCUUUUGUAAAUUGAUAUUUCCAACUGUUAUCAUUUUUCGUUGGCCCAAGUGUGUGAACUAUUUUUUUUUUUUUUUUUUUUUUGCAGUGUGGUUCUGUGGCUGAUGGAUUCUUUUGGCUUUUGUGUGUCUGAAAAUGUCUUUAAUUUACCUUUGUUUCCAAAAGAUAUUUUCCCAGGGUAUGGAAUGCUAGGUUGUCAGGUUUUUGUUUUUGUUUUUCAUUCAGUACUUUAAAGACAUUAUUGCACUUUUGGUACACAAUGUUUCCACUGAGAAUUUUGCUGUCUUCAAGUUUUGUUCUUCUGUAUAGAAAUUCUCUUUUCUUUUUUUUUUUCCUUCGGGUGAUUAAAAGCUUUUCUCUAUCACUUAUUUUGACAAUGUGUUUAUGAUGUUCCUUGACUGUAUAUUUUUAUUUGUACAUUUUUUACAUUAUGUACAUUUUAAAUGUAGUGUGUAUGUGUGUGUGUAUUUCUUGUGGCUGAGGUUCUUUGGCCUUGAAUCGGGAUUUAUAGGUUUCAUCAAGUUUGGAGAUUUUUUUCAGCCAUUAUUCUUCAAGUAUUUCUUCCAGCCUUCUCCUCUCUCUCCUUUGGGGAUCAUGUCUGGCUGGAAAGAAAAGAAUAAACUUGCUAUAAUGAGGUGCUUUGAGAUAAGCCUUGAGAAUUGGACAGAUUUGAGCAGAUAAAGAUUUAUAAAGGGAUCAAGAAAGGAAAGACACAAAAACUUCAUGCUUCUGUAACUGGGAGAAUACCAGAACCACUAGCAGAAAUGAAUAAAGAAGAGGGCUUUCAUUAAAGAAGAGGAUGUGUUCAUUGCUUGAUGUGCUUGAGCUUGAAGUGCUUUUGUGACCUUUGAUUAGAGAGUAACAGGCUGGGUUAUUCAUGGUGGCCAACUGCCCAGGAGCAGAAUUGGGCCAAAAGGCAGAUCUGGGAAUUACCACUAGUAGAAGGAUGGUAGCUAAAACCACACCAGAUGAAUUCCUGACAUAGAUGGUACACAAAGUACCAAAAAAGGCCUGGUCAUUCAGACUUUCCACUUAUAGCAAUUUAUUCUAAGGGAAGAACAGUAAUUUACAAUGAUUCACAGAGAUUCACUCAAGUGCUGUUUAUAAUUUAAAAACAAGUAGAAACUAAAUACCCCACAAUGGAGAAUUGGUUAAAUAUAUGGAACAUACCAUGGAAUACAGUAUAGCCAUGAAAAAAGAUUAGAAGAAUAAUUACAACAAAAUUGUUGACAAUUCAUUAAGUACAGAAAGCAAGUUACAGGACACAAUAUACAGUGUGACCUCAUUUUAUAUAAAUAUAUUUUGUCUUCAGGGCCACACCCAGGGCAUAUGGAGAUUCCCAGGCUAGGGGUUGAACAGGAGUUGCAGCUGCUGACCUAUGCCACAGCCACAGUAAUACCAGAUCCAAGCCGCAUCUGCCACCUACACCACAGCUCAUGGUAACCUGGAUCCUUAACCCACUGAGCGAGGCAGGGAUGGAACCUGCAUCCUCAUGGAUACUGGUUGGGGUCGUUAACUGCUGAGCCACAACGGGAACUCUGUGUCCUCAUUUUAUUUUAUUAUUUUUAUAUUUUUUUAUUCUGAAAUUUUUAUUUUUUACAGAAUAAAAUACAUACAUUUAAACACAAUUACAUUCACACAGAUUAUUAUAUCAUGGAUCUUAAGAAACAGAUUAAGUGACUCCCUCUGGAGAAGUGGAAUGGAAAAUAUGCUGAGACAAAUAGGAAAUUUAUUCUAUACUUUAUCCCAUUUUGUAUGGCUUUCAUCCUUACUAUUUAGUAUUAUCUAUUACAUUUCAAUUUUUCUUUAAAAAUUAGCAUUAUUAAAAUUGUUAUAUUAUGCAACUAAAAUUUAUAAAGAAAGCCUUACAUACCAUUAAAUAUUUUAUACAGCAUAAUAAAAAGAAUAACUGGUAAGAAUACAAAAAUAAUAUAUCCUCUGAAAAUAAGUAAAAUAUAAAAUGCAUAAAUUGGUUAAAAAACAGUGUAACUAUACAAAUAUGUCCUCGCAAUUUGUUACAUUUUAUUGAUUCUUCAAUAUAGGCAUUACACCAUUCUAGGUGCUGUGAUAAACAAGACAUUAUAGACCUUACAUUGUACCAUGGAGAGAAAUGGUUAUUAAUAAUACAAUUGCAGAACUGUAUUAUUAAAUUGUACAGUUGCAUUAUUUAAUUAUAAUUAUCAUAAAUUCUUUGAUGGAGAAGAAAUCAGAAUCAGAUGUAAGAAGACUUCAGCAUUCCAAGAAUGAUGCCAAAUGACCCCCUUUAUGGUGGAUUAUGCACUUAUUUACUAUGAGAUAUAUUUCUUCUCCAGAGAUUCCUUGUUUGUGUAUCAAUUGUAUUUUUGGUUUGCAGUUAUUCUGAAGUUUUGAUGUAAAAGUCUAUAUGUAUAUGAGAUUGUUUUAAGUUGUUGUUCUCUUAAUUGCAAGUUCAUCUCCAGUGUCCUGCAUUUGUACCCACCUCUUCUCAUGAUUUCUGAUUUUGGUGGUAUAAUCAUGCAUGGAUGAUUUCAUAUCUUUACUGUAUAUAUACCUCUACUGGUGAGCCUUGUCAUUUGUGGAAUUUUUGUUUCCUGUUGCUGUCUUGUCUUUUCUGCCUAGAGAAGUUCCUUUCGUAUUUGUUGUAGGCUGGUUUAGUGUUGCUGAAUUCUCUCAACUUUUGCUCAUCUGUGAAGGUUUUGAUUUCUCCUUCAAAUCUGAAUGAGAGCCUUGCUGGGUAGAGUAAUCUUGGUUGGAGGUUUUUUUCCUUUCAUCACGUUAAGUAUAUCAUGCCACUCCCUUCUGGCCUGCAGAGUUUCUGCUGAAAAAUCUGCCAGUAACCUUAUUGGGGUUCCCUUGUAUGUUACAUGUUUCUUUUCCUAGCUGCUUGCAAGAUUUUCUCUUUGUCUUUAAUUUUGGUCAGUUUGAUUAAUAUGUGUCUUGGUGUAUUCCUCCUUGGGUUUAUUGUAUGUGGUACUCGUUGUGCUUCCCGGAUUUGAGUGAGUGGUUCCUUUCCCAUGUGAGGGAAGUUUUUGGCUAUUAUCUCUUGGAAUAUUUUUUCUGCCCCCUUCUCUCUCUCUCCUCCUUCUGGCACCCCUAUCAUAUGGAUGUUGUUGCGUUGUCCCAGAGUUCCCUGAGACUCUCUUCAGUUGUUUUCAAUCUUUUUUCUCUCUUCUGUUCUGCAUCCAUAAUUUCCACUAAUCUGUCCUCCACCUCGCUUAUUCGUUCUUCUGCAUCCUGUAUUCUGCUGUUAGCUGCUUCUAGUGAGUUUUUUAUUUCAGUUAUUGUAUUUUGCAUCUCUUCUUGUUUAAGUUUGAUAUCUUGUAUCUCUUUGGUCAGUGUUUCCUGUAAGUUAUCCAUCUUUGCCUCCAGUUUAUUUCCAAUGUCUUGCAUCAUCUUCAGCAUCAACAAUCUAAAGUCUUUUUCCUGGAGGCUAAGAAUCUCCUCAUGGCUUAGCUGUUUUUCUGGGGUUUUUCCUUUCUCCCUCAUCUGAGUUAUGGUUCUCUGUCUUUUCAUUUUUACAGGUUUUUGGUGUGGUGACCUUUUUACAGAUAAUAGAGUAGUAGCCUUUCCUACUUCUGGUGUCUGCCCCCCUUGUGGCUGAAGUUGGUAUGGGGGCUUGGUGUAGGCUUCCUGAUGGGAGGGGCUGAUGCCUGCCCCCUGGUAGGUGGAGCUGAUUCUAAUCCCUCUGGUGGGUGGGGCUUAGUCUCUGGAUGGGAUUAGAGGCAGCUGUGUGCCUGAGGGGUCUUUAGGCAGCCUGUUUACUAAGGGGCGGGGCUGUGAUCCCACCUGGAUUGUUAUUUGCCCUGGGGCUUCUCAGUACUAUUGGGUGGGGCCAUAUUUUCCCAAAAUGGCCACAUCCAGAGAAAGGCAGCUGCUGAAUAUUCCCAAGAGCUUUGCCUUCAAUGUCUUUUCCUCACAACAAGCCACGUUCACCCCUGUUUUGUCAGGAUGUCCUCCAAGAACUGCAGUCAGCUUUGACCCAGAUUCCCAUGGAGACCUCGCUCUGUCCUGGGACCCAGUGCCGUGAACGUCUGUGUGCGCCUUUUAAGAAUGGGGUCUCCGUUUCCCUCAAUCCUGUGGACAAGCCCCACUGGCCUUCAAUGCCAGAUGCUCCAGGGGCUCUUUCUCCCAGUGCAAGAUCCCCGCAUGUGAGGGUUUGAUAUGGGGCUCAGAACUCUCACUUCUGUAGGUGAGUCUCUGUGAACCAGUUAGUUUUCAGUCUGUGGAGCUUCCUACCCAGGAGGUAUGGGGUUGUUUAUAUUGUGAAAUUGCCCCUCCUACCUCUUGAUGUGGCCUCCUCUUUUUCUUCUGGAGUAGGGUAUCUUUUUUAAGGUUUCCAGUCCAUUUGGGUGAAGAGUGCUCCGUCAUUAGUUGUGAAUUUUGUUGUUUUUAGGAGAGAAGUUGAGCUCCAGUCCUUCUAUUCAGCCAUCUUCUCAUUUUAAAUAAAAUAUAUGAAUAUAUAAGCAAUGAAGAGGAUAACACCACAUAGUGUUGUGUUGGUAGUGUUGUGGGUGGUUUAUUUUUUUAUUUUUGCUUACCCACAUUUUCUAAAUUCUCUAGAGUAAUUCAUAUUAAUUUUACAAUAAGGAAAAAAAUCUAUUCUAAUUUUUCAGAAGCUGACCUAGAAAAAGGCCUGUGGAUUUCCAGAAUGUAUAGAGUGUGGAGGGCAGAAAGGAAGUGGCAGAGGAAAGAGACACUUGGUGCAGAGUCAGGGUUACACAUUGGCCUGGGUCCCCAUUCAGGCCUGUGGCCGAGACCUCAGAACCAAGACAUUGCAGAUUCCCUCAGCGGCUGCCCCGGACAUUGUUAAAUGCAGAUUCCUGGGUGAUUCCCAAACCCUUUGAACCAGAAUAUCUGGGGUGGGGGCCCAGGACUCUGCCUUUAAAAGCCUCCCAGGCGAUUCUUACGCAUGUGUUAGGGUAUGUAUGCAACAGGCCUGCUUCUCUAGCUUUCCAGUGCAAGAGGACUGAACCUGGGAGUUGGUGUAAAUAGCAUGACUGGGCAUUUUUGUCACAAAUCAGUUAAGUCCAGAAUGGAGAGGAAAUAUCUCUUGGAGUCCAGCUGACACCGCACCCCUGCAUGUGUGCUGGGAGUCUUUUGAAGCUGGGCAGCAGCAUCCGAACAGAAGGAAGGGUUUGGCUCCUGGCAGUGAUAACCUGUUGGAUGAGAUUUCAGUGACUUUCCCAAGGGGACUGAGCAAAGAACCCAUGCAGCUCCCCUACUGAUGGGACACCAAGCGGCAAGAAUAUGUCCCUAAGGCCUUCUCCCUCGGGAGCGAAAAGCCGAAGCCGUUAGAAAGUGGCUGGAUCUCCCCAGCCAGGGGCCUCUUGACGAGAGACUCAUCUGAAUUCAGGGACCAAAAGGUUCUUAUGGAAUCAAGAAAGGAAACCUCAGGGGGUAGCCAUCAUCCCAUUAUAAAAGAUGUAUAGGGUUCCAAUCAUGGCUUGGCGGUAAUGAACCAGACUAACAUCCAUGAACAUGAGGAUUUGAUCCCUGGCCUAAGUGGGCUAAGGAUCUGGUGUUGCCAUGAGCUGUGAUGUAGGCUGCAGACUCUGCUCAGACCUUGCAUUGCUGUGGGUGUAGCAUAGGCCAGCAGCUACAGCUCCGAUUGGACCCCUAGCCUGGGAAUUUUCCAUAUGCUGC